GGUGAGAUGGCCGAGCGGUUAAGGCGCCAGACUAAGGAUCACGUGACUCUAUCACGAUUAAAUCUGGUCCGAAAGGGCGUGGGUUCGAAUCCCACUCUCAUCA
Hymenopellis radicata is the source of this 103-nucleotide non-coding RNA. Lineage: Eukaryota; Fungi; Basidiomycota; Agaricomycetes; Agaricales; Physalacriaceae. The record is from the annotation of a GenBank genome assembly.